GCACGCUGUACUGGCCUUUGUGUUACACUCCACUCAUUCCCCAGAUCUGUGAACUUCUACUCUUCGCAAGAACCGUGCUAGGCGCCGCCAGGAGCACAGAGAGAAGGCAGAGGGUGUGGACCCAAGGGCGGGAGGCCGAGAGGACCAGCUGAUGUGGGGAGGAGAGGAGACAGGAGAUCCGGACCAGCUCCAAGACGGACGUGGCGGAAGUACUGGAAUCGUUGAGGGUCCAUUCACCAACGAUCGCCCAAACAGUUGUGUGAGUUUUCUCUGGAGGUGCUCAGAUGAGGACGGGUGUGGCUCUUUUUAUAAAAGGAUCGAGAUCCUUCCAUGUAUGAUGCACCUCCUGCCUGUUUCGCCAGCCCUGCAGAGGAAGCCUCUUGCCAGGUCAUUAAACCACCAUGAGAGUCACGCCUGGAAUUCCACGAUGGAGGAGGCUGUACCGUCCCCGAUUUAACCCCCUGUUGUCCCCCUCCCCCAUGCCAACAUCUUGGUCACUCUGACAAGCCUUUCUGCUCACAUUCUCCAGGAGACGUCCUUGGAGAUGCCAUGGCUGUCUGAGAGGCAUCCGGGGUCCCGAUUGGACACCUGGCCCAGCCUGCUCAGGACAGCACAGCCCCAGGGAGGAGGGUGGUACCUGGUGGCCAAGAGCAGACUCAGAAACCGAGGGCUCCCAGGCGGUCCUGGAGACCCGCAGGCUCAGGCCACCACAGCAGGGCUUGGGGGCUGUGGAAAAGGGAGAGGCCUCAUCCCCCGGUUGCCAAGGCGACGUGGAAGCCUCUGAUUGCCCAGGAGGACCCAUGGCUCAGCAUCAGGCUUUUUCAGUACAGCCUACAAAGGUGUUUUCGUUCAUUCUGACCUGGUUUUCAUGGAUUUUGGUAUUGUUGUGUUGUUUGUUUAAAAAGAAAACACAUGGACUUACGUCAUGAAGAGGCAAAGACGUCACUGGCAUCAACUAAUAAAAAUGAUCAUAAACUCGU
This is a long non-coding RNA of Lagenorhynchus albirostris (white-beaked dolphin), 980 nucleotides long. RefSeq lists it as uncharacterized. The transcript has 3 exons. The record is from RefSeq and is a predicted model, not a curated record. Lineage: Eukaryota; Metazoa; Chordata; Mammalia; Artiodactyla; Delphinidae.